This 81-nucleotide microRNA precursor is filed under the name Ovis aries (sheep). RNAcentral describes it as "miRNA (ENSOARG00000023612.1)". The record is from RNAcentral. Lineage: Eukaryota; Metazoa; Chordata; Mammalia; Artiodactyla; Bovidae.
AUUGGGUUGACCAAAAGUUUGUUUGGGUUUUUCCAUAAGAUGUAAUGGAAAAACCUGAAUGAACUUUUUGGUCAACCCAGU